GACGAACGCUGGCGGCGUGCUUAACACAUGCAAGUCGAACGAAGAGCGAUGGAAGCUUGCUUCUAUCAAUCUUAGUGGCGAACGGGUGAGUAACGCGUAAUCAACCUGCCCUUCAGAGGGGGACAACAGUUGGAAACGACUGCUAAUACCGCAUACGAUCUAAUCUCGGCAUCGAGGAUAGAUGAAAGGUGGCCUCUACAUGUAAGCUAUCACUGAAGGAGGGGAUUGCGUCUGAUUAGCUAGUUGGAGGGGUAACGGCCCACCAAGGCGAUGAUCAGUAGCCGGUAUGAGAGGAUGAACGGCCACAUUGGGACUGGGACACGGCCCAGACUCCUACGGGAGGCAGCAGUGGGGAAUCUUCCGCAAUGGACGAAAGUCUGACGGAGCAACGCCGCGUGAGUGAUGACGGCCUUCGGGUUGUAAAGCUCUGUUAAUCGGGACGAAAGGCCUUCUUGCGAAUAGUGAGAAGGAUUGACGGUACCGGAAUAGAAAGCCACGGCUAACUACGUG
This 510-nucleotide ribosomal RNA is filed under the name uncultured bacterium. RNAcentral describes it as "partial 16S ribosomal RNA". It matches the Rfam family "Bacterial small subunit ribosomal RNA", at positions 28 to 507 of the family's 1533-position model. The record is from RNAcentral.